Molecule: ribosomal RNA, 252 nt
Filed under: uncultured bacterium
Lineage: Bacteria
Description: partial 16S ribosomal RNA
Rfam family: Bacterial small subunit ribosomal RNA
Source: RNAcentral
UACGUAGGUCCCGAGCGUUGUCCGGAUUUAUUGGGCGUAAAGCGAGCGCAGGUGGUUUAUUAAGUCUAGUGUAAAAGGCAGUGGCUCAACCAUUGUAUGCAUUGGAAACUGGUAGACUUGAGUGCAGGAGAGGAGAGUGGAAUUCCAAGUGUAGCGGUGAAAUGCGUAGAUAUAUGGAGGAACACCGGUGGCGAAAGCGGCUCUCUGGCCUGUAACUGACACUGAGGCUCGAAAGCGUGGGGAGCAAACAGG